GAACGCUAGCUACAGGCUUAACACAUGCAAGUCGAGGGGAAACGAUAUUGGAAGCUUGCUUCUGAUAGGCGUCGACCGGCGCACGGGUGAGUAACGCGUAUCCAACCUGCCCAUCACUUGGGGAUAACCUUGUGAAGUAAGACUAAUACCCAAUGACGUCUCUAGAAGACAUCUGAAAGAGAUUAAAGAUUUAUCGGUGAUGGAUGGGGAUGCGUCUGAUUAGCUAGUUGGUGAGGUAACGGCCCACCAAGGCGACGAUCAGUAGGGGUUCUGAGAGGAAGGUCCCCCACAUUGGAACUGAGACACGGUCCAAACUCCUACGGGAGGCAGCAGUGAGGAAUAUUGGUCAAUGGACGAGAGUCUGAACCAGCCAAGUAGCGUGCAGGAUGACGGCCCUAUGGGUUGUAAACUGCUUUUAUAAGGGAAUAAAGUGAGUCUCGUGAGGCUUUUUGCAUGUACCUUAUGAAUAAGGACCGGCUAAUUCCGUG
Molecule: ribosomal RNA, 488 nt
Filed under: uncultured bacterium
Lineage: Bacteria
Description: bacterial SSU rRNA
Rfam family: Bacterial small subunit ribosomal RNA
Source: RNAcentral